This 495-nucleotide ribosomal RNA is filed under the name uncultured bacterium. RNAcentral describes it as "partial 16S ribosomal RNA". It matches the Rfam family "Bacterial small subunit ribosomal RNA", at positions 28 to 507 of the family's 1533-position model. The record is from RNAcentral.
GACGAACGCUGGCGGCGUGCCUAAUACAUGCAAGUCGAACGCUGAAGGAGGAGCUUGCUCUUCUGGACGAGUUGCGAACGGGUGAGUAACGCGUAGGUAACCUGCCUGGUAGCGGGGGAUAACUAUUGGAAACGAUAGCUAAUACCGCAUAACAGUAGAUGUUGCAUGACAUUUACUUAAAAGGUGCAAUUGCAUCACUACCAGAUGGACCUGCGUUGUAUUAGCUAGUUGGUGGGGUAACGGCUCACCAAGGCGACGAUACAUAGCCGACCUGAGAGGGGGGUCGGCCACACUGGGACUGAGACACGGCCCAGACUCCUACGGGAGGCAGCAGGAGGGAAUCGUCGGCAAUGGGCGGAAGUCUGACCGAGCAACGCCGCGGGAGUGAAGAAGGUUGUCGGAUCGUAAAGCUCUGUUGUAAGAGAAGAACGAGUGUGAGAGUGGAAAGUUCACACUGUGACGGUAUCUUACCAGAAAGGGACGGCUAACUACGUG